Molecule: ribosomal RNA, 253 nt
Filed under: uncultured bacterium
Lineage: Bacteria
Description: partial 16S ribosomal RNA
Rfam family: Bacterial small subunit ribosomal RNA
Source: RNAcentral
UACAGAGGGUGCGAGCGUUAAUCGGAAUUACUGGGCGUAAAGCGUGCGCAGGCGGUCUGCUAAGACAGGUGUGAAAUCCCCGGGCUUAACUCGGAAAGGUCAACUGAUACUGCGGGGCUAGAGUGCGGAAGGGGCAACUGGAAUUCUUGGUGUAGCGGUGAAAUGCGUAGAUAUCAAGAGGAACACCUGCGGCGAAGGCGGGUUGCUGGGCCGACACUGACGCUGAGGCGCGAAAGCUAGGGGAGCGAACGGG